GAGCACGUAGGUGGGUUUGUAAGUCAGAUGUGAAAACUGGGGGCUCAACCCGCAGCCUGCAUCUGAAACUGGCAGACUUGAGUCUGGUAGAGGAAAGUGGAAUUCCUAGUGUAGCGGUGAAAUGCGCAGAUAUUGGGAGGAACACCAGUGGCGAAGGCGGCUUUCUGGGCCACGACUGACGCUGAGUGCGCGAAAGCUAGGGGAGCAAACAGGAUUAGAUACCCUGGUAGUCCUAGCCGUAAACGAUGGGCACUAAGUAGAGGGGUUUU
Molecule: ribosomal RNA, 269 nt
Filed under: uncultured anaerobic ammonium-oxidizing bacterium
Lineage: Bacteria
Description: partial 16S ribosomal RNA
Rfam family: Bacterial small subunit ribosomal RNA
Source: RNAcentral